GUACUCGCUUCGGCAGUACAUAUACUAAAAUUGGAACGAUACAGAGAAGAUUAGCAUGGCCCCUCUGUAUCUCAGCCCCAUGAAGACCUCCGGAGUUGAUUUUU
Uloborus diversus is the source of this 104-nucleotide small nuclear RNA. The record is from RefSeq and is a predicted model, not a curated record. Lineage: Eukaryota; Metazoa; Arthropoda; Arachnida; Araneae; Uloboridae.